RNAcentral lists this ribosomal RNA (719 nucleotides) under Ruegeria sp. HR04-37. RNAcentral describes it as "bacterial SSU rRNA". It matches the Rfam family "Bacterial small subunit ribosomal RNA", at positions 167 to 922 of the family's 1533-position model. Lineage: Bacteria; Pseudomonadati; Pseudomonadota; Alphaproteobacteria; Rhodobacterales; Roseobacteraceae. The record is from RNAcentral.
UACCGUAUGAGCCCUUCGGGGGAAAGAUUUAUCGCCAAAGGAUUAGCCCGCGUUAGAUUAGGUAGUUGGUGGGGUAAUGGCCUACCAAGCCUACGAUCUAUAGCUGGUUUUAGAGGAUGAUCAGCAACACUGGGACUGAGACACGGCCCAGACUCCUACGGGAGGCAGCAGUGGGGAAUCUUGGACAAUGGGGGCAACCCUGAUCCAGCCAUGCCGCGUGAGUGAUGAAGGCCUUAGGGUCGUAAAGCUCUUUCGCCUGUGAAGAUAAUGACGGUAGCAGGUAAAGAAACCCCGGCUAACUCCGUGCCAGCAGCCGCGGUAAUACGGAGGGGGUUAGCGUUGUUCGGAAUUACUGGGCGUAAAGCGCACGUAGGCGGACCAGAAAGUUGGGGGUGAAAUCCCGGGGCUCAACCCCGGAACUGCCUCCAAAACUAUUGGUCUAGAGUUCGAGAGAGGUGAGUGGAAUUCCGAGUGUAGAGGUGAAAUUCGUAGAUAUUCGGAGGAACACCAGUGGCGAAGGCGGCUCACUGGCUCGAUACUGACGCUGAGGUGCGAAAGUGUGGGGAGCAAACAGGAUUAGAUACCCUGGUAGUCCACACCGUAAACGAUGANUGNCAGUCGUCGGGUAGCAUGCUAUUCGGUGACACACCUAACGGAUUNNNAUUCCGCCUGGGGAGUACGGUCGCNAGANUAAAACUCNAAGGANUNGACGGGGGCCC